AUACCCGUUCCCUUCCCGAACACGGAAGUCAAGCCCUCUAACGCCGAUGAUACUGACCCUCUAAAGGCCGGGAAAGUAGGUAGUCGCCAGAC
This 92-nucleotide ribosomal RNA is filed under the name Spirochaetaceae bacterium. The record is from RNAcentral. Lineage: Bacteria; Pseudomonadati; Spirochaetota; Spirochaetia; Spirochaetales; Spirochaetaceae.